Molecule: long non-coding RNA, 938 nt
Organism: Bradysia coprophila
Lineage: Eukaryota; Metazoa; Arthropoda; Insecta; Diptera; Sciaridae
Source: RefSeq, a predicted model, not a curated record
UCCGAGCUCAUUAAAACUACUGGCGGUUUUUACUAUAAAAUCGAUUUGUUUUCGGAUGUUUUCUGAAAAAUGUUUCGGUGGCAGAUUAUUUGCCUGUUAAUUUGCAUUGCUGAAUUCAACGCUCAAGAUUAUGACGAACUCCCGACACCGACAAAGGAGAACAUUUCUCGUGGUAGUGAUGCUUCUACCGGACAAUUUCCAUACCACGUCGGACUUCACGGUCUAAGAGGACAUUUCUGCGGUGCAUCAGAGUUGAACGAUUAUGUGAUGUAGGUGUUAUCAGCCGCUCAUUGCUUUUUCCAAAGACCUACCAGUGAUCCUAGUAUCGUGAAAGUUUACGUUGGAUCGACUAACAUAAACAGUGGUGAUACGUACGAUGUCAGAUCUAUUCAAAUACAUCCAGGCUAUCAAGGUUCAAGAGGUUACCAAUUCGACGCAGCUGUACUGCAGAAUUUAUCAGAAUCGAGUUCAACUAUUAUAUUCAACCGAUCGUACUGGCUUUUAGAGGAGUAAGUAGAGGUCGUGAAUGCAUCGUCAGCGGAUGGGGACUUCUCGGUUAUCAGGGAAGCAGCAGCCGACCAGAAACUUUACAAUAUGUAGUAGAAACCGUAAUUGGUUGGCCCCAAUGUAAAAAUGCGUGGCCAGUGGCUGUAGGCGAUUCAAAUAUGUGCACGCAAAGGGUUGGAGAAUCGGGACCAAGACCCGGUGACUCAGGUGGUCCGCUAGUCUUUGUGACGCCCAAUGGCUACAGACAAGUCGGCAUUGUGUCGGGAUCUGCACCAGGACGUCCGUACGUCUAUACAAGCGUAAAAUAUGUUUGCACGGGUUGCCAAAUGUUGCAGUAUCAGCCGAUAUUAUACAACGCCUCUUUCCAUGACAAAUUUGCAUAACUCUUUCGUUAGCAUAUGAAGCUAAACAAGCUGAAAAAUAUAAUUUAU